This 739-nucleotide ribosomal RNA is filed under the name Garcinia mangostana. RNAcentral describes it as "eukaryotic LSU rRNA". The record is from RNAcentral. Lineage: Eukaryota; Viridiplantae; Streptophyta; Magnoliopsida; Malpighiales; Clusiaceae.
AUCAUUUAGAGGAAGGAGAAGUCGUAACAAGGUUUCCGUAGGUGAACCUGCGGAAGGAUCAUUGUCGAAACCUGCCCAACAGCACGACCCGUGAACUUGUUUAACCCAUUGACGAGGGUGUGUUGUCGGUCACUAGAUUGGCAACACGCCCUUGUAAGUCAAGGGGUGCCCAUCGCUCCCGUAGCAUGUGGCUCCUCGAGACGCAACAAACCAAUCUCGGCGCGGGUUGCGCCAAGGAACUAUCGUAAAUGUAAGGAACUCCUYCCCGUCUUGGAAACAAUGUACGUGAUGAGGGCUCGUUCCUUUCAGUCGUUAAACAAAACGACUCUCGGCAACGGAUAUCUCGGCUCUUGCAUCGAUGAAGAACGUAGCGAAAUGCGAUACGUGGUGUGAAUUGCAGAAUCCCGUGAACCAUCGAGUUUUUGAACGCAAGUUGCGCCCAAAGCCUUUUGGUUGAGGGCACGUCUGCCUGGGUGUCACACAAUGUUGCCCAAACCCCAAUUGCUACGGUGUUUGGGCGGAUGUUGGUCUCCCGUGCGCCCCUAGCUCGCGGCUGGCCUAAAAACGAGCCUUGUUGAUGUCGUACACGGCAAUCGGUGGUUUAUAGACCCUCGGACAAUGUCGUGCACUCUCAUCGCAUUGGCAUUAAUGGCCCCAAUGCAUUCUUUGCAUGAUCGCAAAGCGACCCCAGGUCAGGUGAGACUACCCGCUGAGUUUAAGCAUAUCAAUAAGCGGAGGA